UAUUUUAACCUAUUGUCAGCUCUAAUACUUGUAAUUUCUGUUUUAAAGGUUUAACAAAGCAAAAUCUCUCCUCUAGAUCCUGCUGAAGAACUAUUUUCCCUCAACGUUUGAGCAGCAUGUCUCUAGAUUUAACAUGUUGCACUGUUGGACACAAAGAUGUUGUGAUGACAUGUCUUUUAAAGUACUGUGCACCAAUCAGGACAUAGCAUCAAUCAGCCUGCAGGAACCAAUCAGAGGGCAUUCCUGCACGCACACACACACACA
This is a long non-coding RNA of Rhinichthys klamathensis goyatoka, 264 nucleotides long. RefSeq lists it as uncharacterized. NCBI's taxonomy places the organism in Eukaryota, Metazoa, Chordata, Actinopteri, Cypriniformes, Leuciscidae. The record is from RefSeq and is a predicted model, not a curated record. The transcript has 2 exons.